This 741-nucleotide long non-coding RNA is filed under the name Capsella rubella. RNAcentral describes it as "long non-coding RNA (CRUB_LNC001034)". Lineage: Eukaryota; Viridiplantae; Streptophyta; Magnoliopsida; Brassicales; Brassicaceae. The record is from RNAcentral.
AUGUACUAGGCUAUUAAAAAUAAUAAAAUUCUUAAGGCAGAAAAUCAUUGGUCAACUUGCCAUAUGGUGAUGAAUAUGACUAUAUGAGUUCUGAUCAGUGACCAUUUCGUCUAAAUAUAAGUAGGCUUAUACAUGCUUGUGCACAAUUUGAAAAAAAAAAAAAUUAUAACAAAUAUUUAGUGUGUAGGAAAAAUCAAAUUGUAUGAAGAUGAAUCCUUCAAAAAUAUUAGUUGCAUUGACUCUUAUUGUUCUCAUCGCAGCUUCUUCUGUCCAUUGCCGACCAAGUGAUCUCGUCUUCGGUAUGUUUUUUUCUUCACAUAAUCCCUAAUGUUACAUAUAGUGAGUCUGUAAGUGGAUCAAGUCCCUAAUGUUGGUCUGUCAAAAAGUUUAAUUAGGUAUUGGAUUGCAUAAACAUAUACCAUAACUAUAACUAAAAUUGUCUAAUAGCCAAAGAAAGCCUUCAUGUCUCAGCUUUAUAAACAUUGAUCUCUCCUUAUGAUGAUGAUGUUCAGGGGCGGACCCACAGCCAAGAUGGUGGGGGCAGCUGCCACCAGCAAAAAAAAAAAAAAAAAAAAUAUUAAAAAAUUAUUAAAUAUUAUUAAAAAACAAAAUCUGCCCCCACCAAAAAAACUAUUUUUUAUCUUUUUUUUUGGGAAAGCCCAUUAACCCAUGUACUAAAAAAUAUAUAUUAAUAUAUAAGUUAAAUACUUACUAAUAUAGACCUAAUUUUUUGUUAUUUUC